Molecule: ribosomal RNA, 402 nt
Filed under: Staphylococcus sp.
Lineage: Bacteria; Bacillati; Bacillota; Bacilli; Caryophanales; Staphylococcaceae
Description: bacterial SSU rRNA
Rfam family: Bacterial small subunit ribosomal RNA
Source: RNAcentral
CCUAAUACAUGCAAGUCGAGCGAACAGAUAAGGAGCUUGCUCCUUUGACGUUAGCGGCGGACGGGUGAGUAACACGUGGAUAACCUACCUAUAAGACUGGGAUAACUUCGGGAAACCGGAGCUAAUACCGGAUAAGAUUUUGAUCCGCAUGGUUCAAUAGUGAAAGACGGCCUUGCUGUCACUUAUAGAUGGAUCCGCGCCGUAUUAGCUAGUUGGUAAGGUAACGGCUUACCAAGGCAACGAUACGUAGCCGACCUGAGAGGGUGAUCGGCCACACUGGAACUGAGACACGGUCCAGACUCCUACGGGAGGCAGCAGUAGGGAAUCUUCCGCAAUGGGCGAAAGCCUGACGGAGCAACGCCGCGUGAGUGAUGAAGGUCUUCGGAUCGUAAAACUCUUUUA